AUUGUUUAGUUGCCAUCAUUCAGUUGGGCACUCUAGCGAGACUGCCGGUAAUAAACCGGAGGAAGGUGGGGAUGACGUCAAAUCAUCAUGCCCCUUAUGACCUGGGCUACACACGUGCUACAAUGGUUGGUACAACGAGUUGCGAGUCGGUGACGGCGAGCUAAUCUCUUAAAGCCAAUCUCAGUUCGGAUCGUAGGCUGCAACUCGCCUACAUGAAGUCGGAAUCGCUAGUAAUCGCGGAUCAGCACGCCGCGGUGAAUACGUUCCCGGGCCUU
RNAcentral lists this ribosomal RNA (275 nucleotides) under uncultured Streptococcus sp. RNAcentral describes it as "partial 16S ribosomal RNA". It matches the Rfam family "Bacterial small subunit ribosomal RNA", at positions 1107 to 1382 of the family's 1533-position model. Lineage: Bacteria; Bacillati; Bacillota; Bacilli; Lactobacillales; Streptococcaceae. The record is from RNAcentral.